This 59-nucleotide transfer RNA is filed under the name Oxyopes hupingensis. RNAcentral's name for it is "tRNA-Asn". The record is from RNAcentral. Lineage: Eukaryota; Metazoa; Arthropoda; Arachnida; Araneae; Oxyopidae.
UUAAUAAGAGCUGUAUAAGCGUUUUCAUUGUUAAUGAAAUGAAGGAAGUUUAAAUUGAU